AUUGAACGCUGGCGGCAGGCUUAACACAUGCAAGUCGAGCGGGGAAAGGUAGCUUGCUACCUGACCUAGCGGCGGACGGGUGAGUAAUGCUUAGGAAUCUGCCUAUUAGUGGGGGACAACAUCUCGAAAGGGAUGCUAAUACCGCAUACGUCCUACGGGAGAAAGCAGGGGACCUUCGGGCCUUGCGCUAAUAGAUGAGCCUAAGUCGGAUUAGCUAGUUGGUGGGGUAAAGGCCUACCAAGGCGACGAUCUGUAGCGGGUCUGAGAGGAUGAGCCGCCACACUGGGACUGAGACACGGCCCAGACUCCUACGGGAGGCAGCAGUGGGGAAUAUUGGACAAUGGGGGGAACCCUGAUCCAGCCAUGCCGCGUGUGUGAAGAAGGCCUUUUGGUUGUAAAGCACUUUAAGCGAGGAGGAGGCUACCGAGAUUAAUACUCUUGGAUAGUGGACGUUACUCGCAGAAUAAGCACCGGCUAACUCUGUGCCAGCCGCCGCGGUAA
RNAcentral lists this ribosomal RNA (501 nucleotides) under uncultured bacterium. Its description in RNAcentral is "partial 16S ribosomal RNA". It matches the Rfam family "Bacterial small subunit ribosomal RNA", at positions 30 to 523 of the family's 1533-position model. The record is from RNAcentral.